AUAAUUUCCAAAAGUAUUAAAUAUGCCACAUUUUGGAACGAUACAGAGAAGAUUAGCAUGGCCCCUGCACAAGGAUGACACGCAAAUUUGUGAAGCAUUCCAUUAAAAA
Molecule: small nuclear RNA, 109 nt
Organism: Lepus europaeus (European hare)
Lineage: Eukaryota; Metazoa; Chordata; Mammalia; Lagomorpha; Leporidae
Source: RefSeq, a predicted model, not a curated record